This 469-nucleotide ribosomal RNA is filed under the name uncultured organism. RNAcentral describes it as "partial 16S ribosomal RNA". It matches the Rfam family "Bacterial small subunit ribosomal RNA", at positions 332 to 797 of the family's 1533-position model. The record is from RNAcentral.
UACACUCCUACGGGAGGCAGCAGUGAGGAAUAUUGGCCAAUGGGUGGAAGCCUGAUCCAGCCAUCCCGCGUGCAGGAAGACGGCCCUAUGGGUUGUAAACUGCUUUUAUCUGGGGAUAAACCUACUUACGUGUAAGUAGCUGAAGGUACCAGAAGAAUAAGCACCGGCUAACUCCGUGCCAGCAGCCGCGGUAAUACGGAGGGUGCAAGCGUUAUCCGGAUUUAUUGGGUUUAAAGGGUCCGUAGGCGGACUGAUAAGUCAGUGGUGAAAUCCGACAGCUUAACUGUCGAACUGCCAUUGAUACUGUUAGUCUUGAGUAAGGUUGAAGUGGCUGGAAUAAGUAGUGUAGCGGUGAAAUGCAUAGAUAUUACUUAGAACACCAAUUGCGAAGGCAGGUCACUAAGUCUUAACUGACGCUGAUGGACGAAAGCGUGGGGAGCGAACAGGAUUAGAAACCCUGGUAGUCCCA